UACGGAGGAUGCAAGCGUUAUCCGGAAUCAUUGGGCGUAAAGCGUCCGUAGGUGGCGUUUCAAGUCUGCUGUCAAAGCACAAGGCUUAACCUUGUAAAGGCAGUGGAAACUGAAAGAGCUAGAGUGCGGUAGGGGUAGAGGGAAUUCCCAGUGUAGCGGUGAAAUGCGUAGAGAUUGGGAAGAACACCGGUGGCGAAAGCGCUCUACUGGGCCUGCACUGACACUGAGGGACGAAAGCUAGGGGAGCGAAAGGG
Molecule: ribosomal RNA, 254 nt
Filed under: uncultured bacterium
Lineage: Bacteria
Description: partial 16S ribosomal RNA
Rfam family: Bacterial small subunit ribosomal RNA
Source: RNAcentral